Molecule: ribosomal RNA, 392 nt
Filed under: uncultured bacterium
Lineage: Bacteria
Description: partial 16S ribosomal RNA
Rfam family: Bacterial small subunit ribosomal RNA
Source: RNAcentral
AUACGGAGGAUCCGAGCGUUAUCCGGAUUUAUUGGGUUUAAAGGGUGCGCAGGCGGCCAUUUAAGUCAGCGGUUAAAUCGUGGGGCUCAACCCCAUUCUGCCGUUGAUACUGGGUGGCUUGAUUGCGGUCGAGGUUGGCGGAAUUCGUUGUGUAGCGGUGAAAUGCUUAGAUAUCACGAAGAACUCCGAUUGCGAAGGCAGCUUACUGGACUGUAACUGACGCUGAUGCUCGAAAGUGUGGGUAUCAAACAGGAUUAGAUACCCUGGUAGUCCACACAGUAAACGAUGAAUACUCGCUGUUUGCGAUAUACGGCAAGCGGCCAAGCGAAAGCAUUAAGUAUUCCACCUGGGGAGUACGCCGGCAACGGUGAAACUCAAAUGAAUUGACGGGG